CCUUAAAAAAUAUGUGACUCCUCACUAAGACUACUUUGGCUAAAGUUUUGCUAAAUUAAAACACAGUGAUGCAUCAUCUCUAAUUUUACUUAGAGUGAUCAAUCCCAUCUUGACUCGCACUUAAACUUCACAUGUGCUUGACUAUACCCAAAAAUCUUCUGUUACUAAAUUAAAAAUUCGAAUAGUCCGGUAUCAAAGCACAGUGAGUUGCUUGUAAGUCACCGAGAUAGCCUCAGAUCUGAGGAACACUUAUACCCAU
Molecule: long non-coding RNA, 259 nt
Filed under: Elaeis guineensis (African oil palm)
Lineage: Eukaryota; Viridiplantae; Streptophyta; Magnoliopsida; Arecales; Arecaceae
Description: long non-coding RNA (EGUI_LNC046655)
Source: RNAcentral